RNAcentral lists this long non-coding RNA (2855 nucleotides) under Bemisia tabaci. RNAcentral's name for it is "lncRNA ENSASIAIIG004446". The record is from RNAcentral. Lineage: Eukaryota; Metazoa; Arthropoda; Insecta; Hemiptera; Aleyrodidae.
AUGGUCGCUCAAACCGAACUUCUAGUGCUAUGUCUAUCCGUUUUCAUCUACCGUGUGACAUGUCCCGAGACGCAUCAUCAUUCGCCUACCAAGGGAGUUGCCGGGUCUCCCACCAGGUCACCUUCCGGGUCGGGGUCGCCCAACAGGUCGUUCAAAAGGUCGCCUUCCAGGACACUCUCCGGGACCUCCUCGAGUUGGAUCCAUCCGUCCAGAAUGUUAGUAAACCCCCAGAUUUGGCGGUCACCACCUUAUCCAGACACAAAGGGAGAUCCUCUCUGCAAGACCGAAUAUGUAGCCGCCCAAUUCCCGUCGGCCAGUUACUAUUGCAAGUUAGAGUGCGCAGCCCUCUCGAGGCAAGCGGAAUUAAUCUUCACGAGGUACGGAAAAGAGGAGGCUCUGGCCAGGACGAACAGCCGCCAAUGCUCCGAUUUCGUGAAUGAAGGGGUUUGUACCAACUACCUCCGCGAUAGUGUGUCUUUCUGCUGGUGCCUGGGCAGGGACUACAUGCAGCUCGCUAUUGUCUGUCGCGCCCUCAUAGAAGGGUCGCGGAACUACGUCAACGCCAGGAUCGCCGCCCUCAACAUCUGGGAAAUCAACGUUCGACCCACUCUGCCCGAUAUGCCGGCUCUGCCCAAUAUACCCGGUUGGAUACCCGGUUUACCCAGUCGACCUCGUCUGCCCGGUUGGCCUAGUUGGUCUAGUAUUCCCAAUAUUCCCGGAGCCGGUCUUGUGCGCGGCAGUAUGGAGUGGUUGAGAGGCUGGAACGCCAAACCUGAGCGACGCUCACCAAGCAGGAGAUUUAAUGGGCCUAAAAUUAUCGAAAUCCAAGAAGGCUAGGUAGAUUAGUACAGGUAUGGAAAAGUUGGAAAUUUCCCAUGAGCCUCAGUACGUGUCACAUGACUUCGUGACGUAGGUUACGGGGCCCGUUUUUUAAUUAAAUUACAAUCAAAUUACCAUUCAAACGUUUGUGCGUUUAAACGUUAAAAUUAAUAUCGCAUUAUCAAAACUGUGCAAAAAAUCCCACAAAAUUUUGACAAACGAUAAACCGAACAUAAUAAAUCAAAAUAAUCAAAACAUUCGAAAUGGCUGACGUUAAGGGGCCGCUGGAGAGCCAAUCAGAGGCCAGUUGUUUAGUUCUGUCCAUACCUGUAUUAAUCUACCUUGCAAGAAGGGACACCCGGCUCCUCCUAGAGUACCUGUAUAGCGAGAGUACGAACAGAUCGCUUCAUGGAGGUAUUAGGGCCCAAAAAUGCAGACAUCCCUCUCAUCAACUUCUACCACACAAAAUUUCACCGCCAGUCUGCAGACUCUAAUUCUAAUCAAGAUGACCAAGAAUGUACAGAAAUGAGCGUUCUUCCGCAAAAAUGAGUAAAUUUAUGCAAAAACUGAGUCAAAUGCGUGCUUUAAAAAUGACGGUUCGUAACAAUAGUAUUAGUAAAUCGUUCUGGAUAAGUGGAAUUCAUAGGUUGCCUGUAUUUCUGGGCCCUAACUUUAUUCGCAGAAGCAUCGAUGAAAGCCUAAUGGAUUUUCGGAGUUUCACAUCUGUCCAUACUCUCGUCAUACAGGUAUUCUAGCUCCUCCCACGGAGAAGUAACUUAGAUUUCAUCACGAAUUCAGAGUCCUUUUAUGUCCAGAGUUACGACAUCUCAAUUCUGGUCGGGCUGAAGGGGCCUAAAAAAAUCCAGUUCUGAUUGGUUCUCGCUCAUGGAUUCACAAAAGAGUGCACCAAUAUGGCGGUGGCUCAAAUUUAAACAAAAAUAAUGGAACAAUAACCUAAUUGUGAUUUAUUAUAGGGGUAAAUUGUUAUUUUCAUCGCCUUAGAAUAAAAAUAGACUAAGAAAUUAUUCACAAAUCAAUCUCAUUUUAUUUUAUUGCAAUUUCUUUGCGGUUAGAUUAUGAUCAGGUUUAUUGAUGGUGUUAUUUUUGGAUAACAAACACCGCAGGAUUCCUUAUCCUUAUUCCUCAAUAUAGUGCGUUUGGGUGCACUUUUUUGUGACACCAUGAGCAAUCCACGAUCAGCCUGAGCUUAAAGUUUGGCGUCAGUUUGAUGAGUUUGUUGCUUGGUGAACGUCAGGAUUUAGCGGGCCGCCAAAUCCUGACCAUCAGUCAUCGUUCCGAAUUACAUGAAUUCCACUCGUCUUCUCACCUUUUAUCUAUUUAAAUACCCACAAAAGUCAGUUGAAAACGAUCAAAUUUAAUGACACCAAGGCGUGGAUGCAUCUAAACUUGCUCAGUGACUGUGCGUGUUGCAUACUUUCAAAUUUGAAGGCUUCUUGGAACUUGGAACUCACGUCAGCUAUGCAUUAGCGUAGCGCGUAGCACCAAGUUGCUGACGAAAUGUUCUUGUAAACAUACUAAUUAAGUGAUGAUGAGAGAUCCUCGCUCUUAUCAAAAGGAGUGAAAAAUGUAUAUGCUUUUCUGAAAAAAAAAGACUAGAUAUUAGUUUCCGAAAUUGGAGCUUGGUGCCUUGAAAUGUACCUGCACCGGGCGAAAAUCAACAUGCGCGUUGCGCAACAUCCUGUUUGGAAAUUAAUUGGAAUAUCUUUUUGAUGCUUUUCUUUUUAUCCAAUUUGGAUUUUCAUGUUCUCAUUUUCACUUGUGUUAAUUCACGUAGUUAAACUUAAUUGGAAUUUUAUAAUUAUGCUCCCUUUAGUUUGUACUUUUAUUCUGUUUUUUCCUUACUUAUUUAUUUCAAUUUUAUAUCUUGUCCUUUCUUUUUCUUCAUAAUUUACACUUCCUCUUCUUUAGUGUAACCUUUAUGUUUGUGAUUUUAAUUUUUUACAUUUUUACUGUGGUCUUUUUUGGCUGUAUUAAAGUCUUUUUUCGGCUGUAUCACAGUCUUUUUCUUUUGGUAU